GAGUUUGAUCCUGGCUCAGGAUGAACGCUGGCGGCGUGCCUAACACAUGCAAGUCGAGCGAUCUUCUUCGGAAGAGAGCGGCGGACGGGUGAGUAACGCGUGGGUAACCUGCCUCAUACACAUGGAUAACAUACCGAAAGGUAUGCUAAUACAAGAUGAUAUAAGAGAUUCGCAUGGAUUUCUUAUCAAAGCUCCGGCGGUAUGAGAUGGACCCGCGUCUGAUUAGCUAGUUGGUAAGGUAACGGCUUACCAAGGCGACGAUCAGUAGCCGACCUGAGAGGGUGAUCGGCCACAUUGGAACUGAGACACGGUCCAAACUCCUACGGGAGGCAGCAGUGGGGAAUAUUGCACAAUGGGCGAAAGCCUGAUGCAGCAACGCCGCGUGAGCGAUGAAGGCCUUCGGGUCGUAAAGCUCUGUCCUCAAGGAAGAUAAUGACGGUACUUGAGGAGGAAGCCCCGGCUAACUACGUGCCAGCAGCCGCGGUAAUACGUAGGUGGCAAGCGUUAUCCGGAAUUACUGGGUGUAAAGGGCGCGUAGGCGGGUGUGCAAGUUAGAUGUGAAAACCUGGAGCUCAACUCCAGACUGGCAUCUAAAACUGUACAUCUUGAGUGUCAGAGGGGAAAGUGGAAUUCCUAGUGGAGCGGUAAAAUGCGCAGAGAUCAGGAGGAACACCGGUGGCGAAGGCGACUUUCUGGCUGACAACUGACGCUGAGGCACGAAAGCGUGGGGAUCAAAAAGGAUUCGAUCCCCUGGUAGUCCCCCGCCGUAAACGAUGAUCACUGGGUGCCGGCGACACACCGUCGGUGCCUGAGCGAAAGCAUUAAGUGAUCCACCUGGGGAGUACGAUCGCAAGGUUGAAACUCAAAGGAAUUGACGGGGGCCCGCACAAGCGGAGGAACAUGUGGUUUAAUUCGAUGAUACGCGAGGAACCUUACCUGGGCUCGAACGCAUUCGGAAGCGCACGGAAACGUGCGCGCCAGCGAUGGCCGUUUGCGAGGUGCUGCAUGGUUGUCGUCAGCUCGUGCCGUGAGGUGUCGGGUUAAGUCCCACAACGAGCGCAACCCCUACUGCUAGUUGCCAGCGCGUAAUGGCGGGGACUCUAGCGGAACUGCCGGCGUAAGCCGUGAGGAAGGUGGGGAUGACGUCAAAUCAGCACGGCCCUUAUGUCCAGGGCUACACACGUGUUACAAUGGCCGGUACAGAGGGCAGCCACCCCGCGAGGGGGCGCGAAUCCCCAAAGCCGGUCUCAGUUCGGAUCGGAGUCUGCAACCCGACUCCGUGAAGCUGGAUUCGCUAGUAAUCGCGCAUCAGCCACGGCGCGGUGAAUACGUUCCCGGGCCUUGCACUCACCGCCCUUCA
This 1360-nucleotide ribosomal RNA is filed under the name uncultured bacterium. Its description in RNAcentral is "partial 16S ribosomal RNA". It matches the Rfam family "Bacterial small subunit ribosomal RNA". The record is from RNAcentral.